UAGUAACGGCGAGUGAACAGGCAAGAGCUCAGAUUUGAAAGGCACUUUUGUGCCGUUGUAUUCUGAAGUUAGGGUCCUGAGAAACGAUGCUUAAGUCUUCUGGAAAGGAGCGCCAUGGAGGGUGAUAGCCCCGUCUAGCAUUGACCUCAUAUAGGAUCUUAACAUGGAGUCGAGUUGUUUGGGAAUGCAGCUCAAAUGGGUGGUAUGCUCCAUCUAAAGCUAAAUAUCUGCGAGAGACCGAUAGUAAACAAGUACUGUGAGGGAAAGAUGAAAAGAACUUUGAAAAGAGAGUGAAAAAGUACGUGAAAUUGUUGAAAUGGAAGGGUAGGCCGCUAACCAUGUAGAGCCGUGUUUGGGGGGAAGAUAAAUGCUGUAGAAUGUAGCUCCUCGGAGUAUUAUAGAUGCAGUUCAUAUUCCCACCCGAGCGCGAGGAUCUCAGGUUCUACUAAAUGGUGGUCUACCACCCGUCUUGAAACACGGACCA
This 484-nucleotide ribosomal RNA is filed under the name Starmerella bacillaris. RNAcentral describes it as "eukaryotic LSU rRNA". It matches the Rfam family "Eukaryotic large subunit ribosomal RNA", at positions 81 to 668 of the family's 3401-position model. The record is from RNAcentral. Lineage: Eukaryota; Fungi; Ascomycota; Dipodascomycetes; Dipodascales; Trichomonascaceae.